CGCGGGGUGGAGCAGUCCGGUAGCUCGUCAGGCUCAUAACCUGAAGGUCGUAGGUUCAAAUCCUACUCCCGCAACCA
RNAcentral lists this transfer RNA (77 nucleotides) under Alphaproteobacteria bacterium. RNAcentral's name for it is "tRNA-Met". It matches the Rfam family "tRNA". From Rfam's summary of the family: Transfer RNA (tRNA) molecules are approximately 80 nucleotides in length. Lineage: Bacteria; Pseudomonadati; Pseudomonadota; Alphaproteobacteria. The record is from RNAcentral. RNAcentral also lists the same sequence under 1 other name.